RNAcentral lists this long non-coding RNA (322 nucleotides) under Salvia miltiorrhiza (redroot sage). RNAcentral's name for it is "long non-coding RNA (SMIL_LNC003167)". The record is from RNAcentral. Lineage: Eukaryota; Viridiplantae; Streptophyta; Magnoliopsida; Lamiales; Lamiaceae.
UCGUCAAAGAUUUGAAGUGUGAAAGAAAUCCUGCUGUGGAAGGAAAAAAUCAAGAUUUGAAAUCAAAGUUUUGCUGCUGUGGUUGUCAAAUUUUACGGAAAGGGAGUUUGAUUAGUGAAUAGGUGUGUGCUUGUGAUUUUUUCUGAAUAUAUAUAGAAUGUUCAGAGAAAUACUUGUAGUUGUAGAGAUGUAAAAACAGGAAAUGAUAAAUUGUACUGAAAUAGAAAUUUCAUAGAUUGAAAAUUAAUACCAUGUUGAUUGAUCUGCAGUUAGAGAGAAAAACUUGGUUAUCUCGAAGUAUAGUUUUUGCUUUGUAAAAUUU